GGUCUCUUGUGUUAUGAAAAUAGGAGGUCUAACCUGCCCACUGAAGGACCAAGUAUUGAAGGGCCGCGGUAUUUUGACUGUGCAAAGGUAGCAUAAUCAUUAGUCUUUUAAUUGAGGGCUUGUAUGAAUGGUUGAACGAGGUAAAUACUGUUUUAUAUAAAUAUUGAGUUGAAUUUGGAUUUUAAGUAAAAAUACUUAAAUAAUUUUAAGGGACGAGAAGACCCUAUAGAGUUUAAUAUAUAAAUUUAUAAUAUGGUUAUUUUAUAAUUAUUUAUAUUAUAUUAAAAGUAUAUUUAGUUGGGGUGUUUAGAGAAUAGAUAAAACUUCUUUAUAUUAUGAAUAUAUAUUUAUAGAUAUUAGAUCCAUAAUAUUGUGAUUAUAAGAUAAAAUUACCUUAGGGAUAACAGCAUAAUUUUUUUUGAGAGUUCUUAUCAAGAAAGGAGAUUGUGACCUCGAUGUUGGAUUAAGAUAAAAUUUGGGAGUAGAUGUUCAGGAAUUUAGGUCUGUUCGACCUUUAAAAUCUUACA
This 527-nucleotide ribosomal RNA is filed under the name Macromusonia major. RNAcentral's name for it is "partial 16S ribosomal RNA". It matches the Rfam family "Bacterial large subunit ribosomal RNA", at positions 1817 to 2600 of the family's 2925-position model. Lineage: Eukaryota; Metazoa; Arthropoda; Insecta; Mantodea; Thespidae. The record is from RNAcentral.